CAGCAGCCGCGGGAAUACGUAGGGUGCAAGCGUUAAUCGGAAUUACUGGGCGUAAAGCGCACGCAGGCGGUCUGUCAAGUCGGAUGUGAAAUCCCCGGGCUUAACCUGGGAACUGCAUUUGAAACUGUCAGGCUGGAGUCUUGUAGAGGGGGGUGGAAUUCCAGGUGUAGCGGUGAAAUGCGUAGAGAUCUGGAGGAAUACCGGUGGCGAAGGCGGCCCCCUGGACAAAGACUGACGCUCAGGUGCGAAAGCGUGGGGAGCAAACAGGAUUAGAUACCCGCGUAGUCCCUGUCUCUUAUAC
RNAcentral lists this ribosomal RNA (301 nucleotides) under uncultured bacterium. Its description in RNAcentral is "partial 16S ribosomal RNA". It matches the Rfam family "Bacterial small subunit ribosomal RNA", at positions 509 to 807 of the family's 1533-position model. The record is from RNAcentral.